AUCACGGGAGACACACGGCGGGUGCUAACGUCCGUCGUGAAGAGGGAAACAACCCAGACCGCCAGCUAAGGUCCCAAAGUCAUGGUUAAGUGGGAAACGAUGUGGGAAGGCCCAGACAGCCAGGAUGUUGGCUUAGAAGCAGCCAUCAUUUAAAGAAAGCGUAAUAGCUCACUGGUCGAGUCGGCCUGCGCGGAAGAUGUAACGGGGCUAAACCAUGCACCGAAGCUGCGGCAGCGAACGUAUCACCCAAGACAACUUUACGGAGUUGACGAUUGACGGAGCGAAGCGACGUCAAAGCGUUCAUUAAAGUCGAGUUGGCUUAGGGAUACGUUCGUUGGGUAGGGGAGCGUUCUGUAAGCCUGUGAAGGUGUGUCGUGAGGCAUGCUGGAGGUAUCAGAAGUGCGAAUGCUGACAUAAGUAACGAUAAAGCGGGUGAAAAGCCCGCUCGCCGGAAGACCAAGGGUUCCUGUCCAACGUUAAUCGGGGCAGGGUGAGUCGACCCCUAAGGCGAGGCCGAAAGGCGUAGUCGAUGGGAAACGGGUUAAUAUUCCCGUACUUGGUGUUACUGCGAAGGGGGGACGGAGAAGGCUAUGUUGGCCGGGCGACGGUUGUCCCGGUUUAAGCGUGUAGGUGUGUGUUCCAGGUAAAUCCGGUUCACUUUAACACUGAGGCGUGACGACGAGGCACUACGGUGCUGAAGCAACAAAUGCCCUGCUUCCAGGAAAAGCCUCUAAGCAUCAGGUAACACGAAAUCGUACCCCAAACCGACACAGGUGGUCAGGUAGAGAAUACCAAGGCGCUUGAGAGAACUCGGGUGAAGGAACUAGGCAAAAUGGUGCCGUAACUUCGGGAGAAGGCACGCUGACACGUAGGUGAAGUGAUUUACUCAUGGAGCUGAAGUCAGUCGAAGAUACCAGCUGGCUGCAACUGUUUAUUAAAAACACAGCACUGUGCAAACACGAAAGUGGACGUAUACGGUGUGACGCCUGCCCGGUGCCGGAAGGUUAAUUGAUGGGGUCAGCGUAAGCGAAGCUCCUGAUCGAAGCCCCGGUAAACGGCGGCCGUAACUAUAACGGUCCUAAGGUAGCGAAAUUCCUUGUCGGGUAAGUUCCGACCUGCACGAAUGGCGUAAUGAUGGCCAGGCUGUCUCCACCCGAGACUCAGUGAAAUUGAACUCGCUGUGAAGAUGCAGUGUACCCGCGGCAAGACGGAAAGACCCCGUGAACCUUUACUAUAGCUUGACACUGAACAUUGAGCCUUGAUGUGUAGGAUAGGGGGGAGGAUUUAAAGGGUGGACGCCAGUCUGCAUGGAGCCGACCUUGAAAUACCACCCUU
This 1335-nucleotide ribosomal RNA is filed under the name Salmonella enterica subsp. enterica serovar Typhimurium. RNAcentral's name for it is "bacterial LSU rRNA". It matches the Rfam family "Bacterial large subunit ribosomal RNA", at positions 974 to 2207 of the family's 2925-position model. The record is from RNAcentral. Lineage: Bacteria; Pseudomonadati; Pseudomonadota; Gammaproteobacteria; Enterobacterales; Enterobacteriaceae.